RNAcentral lists this ribosomal RNA (460 nucleotides) under uncultured bacterium. RNAcentral's name for it is "partial 16S ribosomal RNA". It matches the Rfam family "Bacterial small subunit ribosomal RNA", at positions 338 to 795 of the family's 1533-position model. The record is from RNAcentral.
CCUACGGGCGGCAGCAGUGAGGAAUAUUGGUCAAUGGCCGAGAGGCUGAACCAGCCAAGUCGCGUGAGGGAAGACGGCCCUACGGGUUGUAAACCUCUUUUGUCGGGGAGCAAAGAGAGUCACGUGUGACUCAUUGAGAGUACCCGAAGAAAAAGCAUCGGCUAACUCCGUGCCAGCAGCCGCGGUAAUACGGAAGGUCCGGGCGUUAUCCGGAUUUAUUGGGUUUAAAGGGAGCGUAGGCCGGCUUUUAAGUCAGCUGUGAAAGUCCGCGGCUCAACCGUGGAAUUGCAGUUGAAACUGGAGGCCUUGAGUGCACACAGGGAUGCCGGAAUUCAUGGUGUAGCGGUGAAAUGCUUAGAUAUCAUGAAGAACUCCGAUCGCGAAGGCAAGUGUCCGGGGUGCAACUGACGCUGAGGCUCGAAAGUGCGGGUAUCAAACAGGAUUAGAUACCCCUGUAGUC